UACGGGGGGGGGCAAGCGUUGUUCGGAAUUACUGGGCGUAAAGGGCUCGUAGGCGGCCAACUAAGUCAUACGUGAAAUCCCUCGGCUUAACCGGGGAACUGCGUCUGAUACUGGAUGGCUUGAGUUCGGGAGAGGGAUGCGGAAUUCCAGGUGUAGCGGUGAAAUGCGUAGAUAUCUGGAGGAACACCGGUGGCGAAGGCGGCAUCCUGGACCGACACUGACGCUGAGGAGCGAAAGCCAGGGGAGCAAACGGG
This 254-nucleotide ribosomal RNA is filed under the name uncultured bacterium. Its description in RNAcentral is "partial 16S ribosomal RNA". It matches the Rfam family "Bacterial small subunit ribosomal RNA", at positions 524 to 776 of the family's 1533-position model. The record is from RNAcentral.